This 880-nucleotide ribosomal RNA is filed under the name Bacillus velezensis. RNAcentral's name for it is "bacterial SSU rRNA". It matches the Rfam family "Bacterial small subunit ribosomal RNA", at positions 28 to 888 of the family's 1533-position model. Lineage: Bacteria; Bacillati; Bacillota; Bacilli; Caryophanales; Bacillaceae. The record is from RNAcentral.
GGCGCUAUGCUGGCGACGUGCCUAAUACAUGCAAGUCGAGCGGACAGAUGGGAGCUUGCUCCCUGAUGUUAGCGGCGGACGGGUGAGUAACACGUGGGUAACCUGCCUGUAAGACUGGGAUAACUCCGGGAAACCGGGGCUAAUACCGGAUGGUUGUCUGAACCGCAUGGUUCAGACAUAAAAGGUGGCUUCGGCUACCACUUACAGAUGGACCCGCGGCGCAUUAGCUAGUUGGUGAGGUAACGGCUCACCAAGGCGACGAUGCGUAGCCGACCUGAGAGGGUGAUCGGCCACACUGGGACUGAGACACGGCCCAGACUCCUACGGGAGGCAGCAGUAGGGAAUCUUCCGCAAUGGACGAAAGUCUGACGGAGCAACGCCGCGUGAGUGAUGAAGGUUUUCGGAUCGUAAAGCUCUGUUGUUAGGGAAGAACAAGUGCCGUUCAAAUAGGGCGGCACCUUGACGGUACCUAACCAGAAAGCCACGGCUAACUACGUGCCAGCAGCCGCGGUAAUACGUAGGUGGCAAGCGUUGUCCGGAAUUAUUGGGCGUAAAGGGCUCGCAGGCGGUUUCUUAAGUCUGAUGUGAAAGCCCCCGGCUCAACCGGGGAGGGUCAUUGGAAACUGGGGAACUUGAGUGCAGAAGAGGAGAGUGGAAUUCCACGUGUAGCGGUGAAAUGCGUAGAGAUGUGGAGGAACACCAGUGGCGAAGGCGACUCUCUGGUCUGUAACUGACGCUGAGGAGCGAAAGCGUGGGGAGCGAACAGGAUUAGAUACCCUGGUAGUCCACGCCGUAAACGAUGAGUGCUAAGUGUUAGGGGGUUUCCGCUCCUUAUUGCUGCAGCUAACGCAUUAAGCACUCCGCCUGCGGAGUACGGUCG